RNAcentral lists this long non-coding RNA (7018 nucleotides) under Vitis vinifera (wine grape). RNAcentral's name for it is "long non-coding RNA (VVIN_LNC003540)". The record is from RNAcentral. Lineage: Eukaryota; Viridiplantae; Streptophyta; Magnoliopsida; Vitales; Vitaceae.
CGAAAUGGAGGAGAAUAGGGGAUACGGAGAAAACUUACCUGACAAGUAUUUUCAAACAAACUUCUCCUUUCCUCGGGAAACCUGAAAAUUCUACUUUCACGCUUACCUAACAAGUAUGUGUACUAGAAAAUUAAUUUUGAAUUCGUUAAUUUCUUUAUUUGUUUUUUAUCUUGAUCUUGCGUUGUCUAUUCCUCAUUUCUUUAGUUUUGUACCUGCAUAAUUUGAUUUUCUUUCAAUGAUAUUGUUCCUUAAGAGUUAAUUUUGUUAUUCUCAUUUUUACGUUUGAUUAAGCGUAAGGGUAAAAUUUUCAAGUUUCCCGAGGAAAAGUGAGGUUUGUUUGAAAAUACUUGUCAGGUAAGUUUUCUCCGUAUCCCCUAUUCUCCUCCAUUUCGCAUUGUUCUUCAUUCUUCUCUUUUAUAUUUGAGUGUUAUUUGUUCACUGCGUGUAUCUAGUAGAUAAUGAAUUUUCAAUCCUUUGAUGUCAUUGUCUUUUUUAGAACUCUAUGUUGUGUUUUCUAUUUUUCAUUUCUUUAGUUUCUUAUCAAAAAAAUUUUAUUUACUUUCAAGUACAUUGUGGUUUUAAAAUUUGAUCUCUACUCCUUUCUCUACCUUGCUUUUAGCGUAAGGGUAGAAUUUUUAGGUUUCCUCUAGUUCAGAGAAGGUUAUUAGGAAUUAGUUCUUCCAUAAGUUUUCUCCAUGUUCCCUAUUCUAUCAAAUUUUGCAUUGUUAUUCUUAUUUAUUUUUUAUGUUUUCGUGUUAUAUGUUUACUAUAUGUGUGUUCUAGAAAAUUAAUAUUGAAUCAAAUAAUUUCUUUCUUUGUUUUUAUCUUGAUGUUGCGUUGUCUAUUCCUCAUUUCUUUAGUUUCGUAUGGGCAGAAUUUGAUUUCCUUUACAACAUAUUAAGCCUUAAGAGUUAAUUUUCUAAUUCUCGUUUUUACAUUUGAUCUCUACACUUUUCGCUACCUUCUAUAAGCGUAAGGGUAGAAUUUUCAAGUUUCUCGAGGUAAAGAGAAGUUUAUGGGGAAAUACUUGUCAGGUAAGUUUCCUCCGUAUCCCCUAUUCUCCUCCAUUUUGCAUUGUUCUUUAUUAUUCCCUUUUAUGUUUGAGUGUUAUUUGUUGACCGCUUGUGUGUAGUAAAGAAUUAAUUUUCAAUCCUUUGAUUCCUUUGUUUGUUUUUAAAAGCUUGAUGUUGUGUUUUUUAUUCCUUAUUUCUUUAGUUUCGUAUCAGAAUAAUUUGAUUUAUUUUCAAGGACAUUGUGGUUUUAACAUUUGAUAUCUACUCCUUUCUCUAUCUUGCUUUAAGAAGAAUGGUAGAAUUUUCAGGUUUUCCGUGGUAAAGAGAAGUUUAUUGGGAAUUANNNNNNNNNNNNNNNNNNNNNNNNNNNNNNNNNNNNNNNNNNNNNNNNNNNNNNNNNNNNNNNNNNNNNNNNNNNNNNNNNNNNNNNNNNNNNNNNNNNNAACAGUGCAAAAUUUGAGAGAAUAGGGAAUACGGAGGAAACUUAUUCAAGAACUAAUUCCCAAUAAACUUCUCUUUACCACGAGAAACCUGAAAAUUCUACCCUUAUGCUUAAUGCAAGGUAGAGAAAGGAGUAGAGAUAAAAUGUUAAAACCACAAUAUCCUUAAGAGUAAAUAAAAUUAUUCGGAUACGAAACUAAAGAUAUGAGCAAUAGAAAACACAACAUUAAACUUUUAAAAACAAACAAAGGAAUCAAAGGAUUGAAAAUUAAUUCUAUACUACACACAAGCGGUCAACAAAUAACACUCAAACAUAAAAGAGAAUAAUGAAGAAGAAUGCAAAAUGGAGGAGAAUAUGGGAUACGGAGGAAACUUACUUGACAAGUAUUUCCUCAUAAACUUCUCUUUACCUCGAGAAACUUGAAAAUUCUACCCUUACGCUUAUAGAAGGUAGCGAAAGGUAUAGAGAUCAAAUGUAAAAACGAGAAUUACAAAAUUAACUCUUAAGGCUUAAUAUGGUUGAAAAGGAAAUCAAAUUUUGCCGAUACGAAACUAAAGAAAUGAGGAAUAGACAACGCAACAUCAAGAUAAAAACAAAGAAAGAAAUUAUUGGAUUGAAUAUUAAUUUUCUAGAACACACAUAUAGUAAACAUAUAACACGAAAACAUAAAAGAUAAAUAAGAAGAACAACGCAAAAUUUGAGAGGAUAGGGAAUAUGGAGAAAACUUAUCGAAGAACUAAUUCCCAAUAAACUUCUCUUGACAAGGGGAAACCUAAAAAUUCUACCAUUACGCUUAAAGUAAGGUAGAGAAAGGAGUACAGAUCAAAUUUUAAAACCACAAUGUACUUGAAAGUAAAUAAAAUUUUUUUGAUAAGAAACUAAAGAAAUGAAAAAUAGAAAACACAACAUAGAGCUCUAAAAAAACAAUGAAACCAAAGGAUUGAAAAUUCAUUAUCUACUAGAUACACGCAGUGAACAAAUAACACUCAAAUAUAAAAGAGAAGAAUAAAGAACAAUGCGAAAUGGAGGAGAAUAGGGGAUACGGAGAAAACUUACCUGACAAGUAUUUUCAAACAAACUUCUCUUUUCCUCGGGAAACCUGAAAAUUUUACUUUCACGCUUACCUGACAAGUAUGUGUGUACUAGAAAAUUAAUUUUGAAUUCGUUAAUUUCUUUAUUUGUUUUUUAUCUUGAUCUUGCGCUUGUCUCUUCCUCAUUUCUUUAGUUUUGUACCUGCAUAAUUUGAUUUCCUUUUAACGAUAUUGUGCCUUAAGAGUUAAUUUUCUUGUUCUCAUUUUUACAUUUGAUCUCUACUCCUUUUGCUCCAUUCAAUAAGCGUAAGGGUAGAAUUUUCAGGUUUCCCGAGGAAAAGAGAAGUUUGUUUGAAAAUACUUGUCAGGUAAGUUUUCUCUAUAUCCCCUAUUCUCCUCCAUUUCGCAUUGUUCUUCAUUCUUCUCUUUUAUAUUUGAGUGUUAUUUGUUCACUGCGUAUAUCUAGUAGAUAAUGAAUUUUCAAUCCUUUUAUUUCAUUGCUUUUUUUAGAGCUCUAUGUUUUGUUUUCUAUUUCUCAUUUCUUUAGUUUCUUAUCAAAAAAAUUUUAUUUACUUUCAAGUACAUUGUGGUUUUAAAAUUUGAUCUCUACUCCUUUCUCUACCUUGCUUUGAGCGUAAGGGUAGAAUUUUUAGAUUUCCCCUUGUCAAGAGAAGUUUAUUGGGAAUUAGUUCUUCGAUAAGUUUUCUCCAUAUUCUCUAUUCUCUCAAAUUUUGCGUUGUUCUUCUUAUUUAUCUGUUAUGUUUUCGUGUUAUAUGUUUACUAUAUGUGUGUUCUAGAAAAUUAAUAUUCAAUCCAAUAAUUUCUUUCUUUGUUUUUUAUCUUGAUGUUGCCUUGUCUAUUCCUCAUUUCUUUUGUUUCGUAUCGGCAGAAUUUGAUUUCCUUUCAACCAUAUUAAGCCUUAAGAGUUAAUUUUCUAAUUUUCGUUUUUACAUUUGAUCUCUACACCUUUCGCUACCUUCUAUAAGCGUAAGGGUAGAAUUUUCAAGUUUCUCGAGGUAAAGAGAAGUUUAUGAGGAAAUACUUGUCCAGUAAGUUUCCUCCGUAUCCCCUAUUCUCCUCCAUUUUGCAUUGUUCUUCAUUAUUCUCUUUUAUGUUUGAGUGUUAUUUGUUGACCGUUUGUGUGUAAUAGAGAAUUAAUUUUCAAUCCUUUGAUUCCUUUGUUUGUUUUUAAAAGUUUGAUGUUGUUUUUUCUAUUGCUCAUAUCUUUAGUUUCGUAUCCGAAUAAUUUUAUUUACUCUCAAGGACAUUGUGGUUUUAACAUUUGAUCUCUACUCCUUUCUCUACCUUGCAUUAAGCAUAAGGGUAGAAUUUUCAGGUUUCUCGUGGUAAAGAGAAGUUUAUUGGGAAUUAGUUCUUGAAUAAGUUUCCUCCGUAUUUCCUAUUCUCUCAAAUUUUGCACUGUCUACUGUAUGAGUGUACGAAAAAAUUACUUUUGAACCCGUUAAAAAAACAAAAAAUGGUAAACGAACUAAUUCCCAAUAAACUUCUCUUUACCUACAAAAACUUAAAAACUCAAACCCUCUUCUUAACGCUCGGUAUAGAUAGGAGUAUAGAUCAAAUGUAAAAACAAAAAUUUCCUUGAAAGUAAAAAUUAUUAUUCGGAUACUAAUCNAAAGAUAUGAGCAAUAGAAAAAACUACAUCAACUUUUAAUAAACAACAAAGGAAUCAAAGGAUUGAAAAUUAAUUCUCAAUUACACACAAACGGUCAACAAAUAACACUCAAACAUAAAAGAGAAUAAUUAAUAACAAUGCAAAAUGGAGGAGAAUAUGGGAUACGGAGGAAACUUACCUGACAAGUAUUUCCCCAUAAACUUCUCUUUACCUCGAGAAACUUGAAAAUUCUACCCUUACGCUUAUAGAAGGUAGCGAAAGGUGUAGAGAUCAAAUGUAAAAACGAGAAUUAGAAAAUUAACUCUUAAGGCUUAAUAUGGUUGAAAGGAAAUCAAAUUCUGCCGGUACGAAACUAAAGAAAUGAGGAAUAGACAACGCAACAUCAAGAUAAAAAACAAAGAAAGAAAUUAUUGGAUUCAAUAUUAAUUUUCUAGAACACACAUAUAGUAAACAUAUAAUACGAAAACAUAAAAGAUAAAUAAGAAGAAUAACGCAAAAUUUGAGAGAAUAGGAAAUAUGGAGAAAACUUAUCGAAGAACUAAUUCCCAAUAAACUUCUCUUGACAAGGGGAAACCUAAAAAUUCUACCAUUACGCUUAAAGUAAGGUAGAGAAAGGAGUAGAGAUCAAAUUUUAAAACCACAAUGUACUUGAAAGUAAAUAAAAUUUUUUUGAUAAGAAACUAAAGAAAUGAAAAAUAGAAAACACAACAUAGAGCUCUAAAAAAAACAAUGAAACCAAAGGAUUGAAAAUUCAUUAUCUACUAGAUACACGCAGUGAACAAAUAACACUCAAACAUAAAAGAGAAGAAUAAAGAACAAUGCAAAAUGGUGGAGAAUAGGAGAUACGAAGAAAACUUACUCGACAAGUAUUUCCAAACAAACUACUCUUUUCCUCGAGAAACCUUAAAAUUCUACUUUCACGCUUACCUGACAAGUAUGUGUGUACUAGAAAAUUAAUUUUGAAUUCGUUAAUUUCUUUAUUUGUUUUUUAUCUUGAUCUUGCGUUGUCUAUUCCUCAUUUCUUUAGUUUUGUACCUGCAUAAUUUGAUUUUCUUUCAACGAUAUUGUGCCUUAAGAGUUAAUUUUCUUGUUCUCAUUUUUACAUUUGAUCUCUACUCCNNNNNNNNNNNNNNNNNNNNNNNNNNNNNNNNNNNNNNNNNNNNNNNNNNNNNNNNNNNNNNNNNNNNNNNNNNNNNNNNNNNNNNNNNNNNNNNNNNNNAGUUCUUGGAUAAGUUUCCUCCGUAUUCCCUAUUCUCUCAAAUUUUGCACUGUCUACUGUAUGAGUGUACGAGAAAAUUACUUUUGAACCCGUUAAAAAAACAAAGAAAGGUUAACGAACUAAUUCCCAAUAAACUUCUCUUUACCACGAAAAACCUAAAAAUUCUACCAUUCUUUUUAAAGCAAGGUAGAGAAAGGAGUAGAUAUCAAAUGUUAAAACCACAAUGUCCUUGAAAGUAAAUCAAAUUAUUCUGAUACGAAACUAAAGAAAUGAGGAAUAAAAAACACAACAUCAAGCUUUAAAAAAAAAACAAAGAAAUCAAAGAAAUCAAAGGAUUGAAAAUUAAUUCUCUACUACACACAAGCGGUCAACAAAUAACACUCAAACAUAAAAGAGAAUAAUGAAGAACAAUGCAAAAUGGAGGAGAAUAGGGGAUACGGAGGAAACUUACCUGACAAGUAUUUCCCCAUAAACUUCUCUUUACCUUGAGAAACUUGAAAAUUCUACCCUUACGCUUAUAGAAGGUAGCGAAAGGUGUAGAGAUCAAAUGUAAAAACGAGAAUUAGAAAAUUAACUCUUAAGGCUUAAUAUGGUUGAAAGCAAAUCAAAUUUUGCCGAUACGAAACUAAAGAAAUGAGGAAUAGACAACGCAACAUCAAAAUAAAAAACAAAGAAAGAAAUUAUUGGAUUCAAUAUUAAUUUUCUAGAACACACAUAUAAUAAACAUAUAACACGAAAACAUAAAAGAGAAAUAAGAAGAACAACGCAAAAUUUGAGAGAAUAGGGAAUAUGGAGAAAACUUAUCUAAGAACUAAUUCCCAAUAAACUUCUCUUGACAAGGGGAAACUUAAAAAUUCUAUCCUUACGCUUAAAGCAAGGUAGAGAAAGGAAUAGAGAUCAAAUUUUAAAACCACAAUGUACUUGAAAGUAAAUAAAAUUUUUUUGAUAAGAAACUAAAGAAAUGAGAAAUAGAAAACACAACAUAGAGCUCCAAAAAAAACAAUGAAAUCAAAGGAUUGAAAAUUCAUUAUCUACUAGAUACACGCAGUGACCAAAUAACACUCAAAUAUAAAAGAGAAGAAUAAAGAACAAUGCAAAAUGGUGGAGAAUAGGAGAUACGAAGAAAACUUACUCGACAAAUAUUUCCAAACAAACUACUCUUUUCCUCGAGAAACCUUAAAAUUCUACUUUCACGCUUACCUGACAAGUAUGUGUGUACUAGAAAAUUAAUUUUGAAUUCGUUAAUUUCUUUAUUUGUUUUUUAUCUUGAUCUUGCGUUGUCUAUUCCUCAUUUCUUUAGUUUUGUACCUGCAUAAUUUGAUUUUCUUUCAACGAUAUUGUGCCUUAAGAGUUAAUUUUCUUGUUCUCAUUUUUACAUUUGAUCUCUACUCUUUUCGCUACAUUCUAUAAGCGUAAGGGUAGAAUUUUCAGGUUUCCCGAGUAAAAGAGAAGUUUGUUUGAAAAUACUUGUCAGGUAAGUUUUCUUCGUAUCCCCUAUUCUCCUCCAUUUCGCAUUGUUCUUCAUUCUUCUCUUUUAUAUUUGAGUGUUAUUUGUUCACUGCGUGUAUCUAGUAGAUAAUGAAUUUUCAAUCCUUUGAUUUCAUUGUUUUUUUUUAGAGCUCUAUGUUGUGUUUUCUAUUUCUCAUUUCUUUAGUUUGUUAUCAAAAAAUUUUUAUUUAC